Non-coding RNA from Sus scrofa (pig), 1279 nucleotides. NCBI's taxonomy places the organism in Eukaryota, Metazoa, Chordata, Mammalia, Artiodactyla, Suidae. The record is from RefSeq and is a predicted model, not a curated record.
UCUGUUGACAGAUAUUUAGGUUGUUUCCCUGUCUUGGCUAUGGCCAACAGUGCUACAAUGAAGCAUGAAUGAAUUUAAUCUUCACAGCAACUUUAUGAUUUAUGUACAUUUGUACUAAUUUCAGAGAUGCAGAAAUUGAGGUUGAGGGAAGUUAAGCAACUUGCCUAAGAUGCAGGGUGUGGAUACUUGACUAGUGUUAGGUGUUACUCCUACACCUGCCAUGACAUUGCAGAGAAAGUAGGUUAGGAGGGGGCCCAGAGCAGAAGGACUGAGGGAACAGCCAUACACGAAGGAAGCAAGCAAGUCAGGAUCAGAUAAUGGGUAAAGGUGGGAAAGUGGACACAGGUGGGGGGAGGGAGAAGUUCUCUUAGCCCAUCACAUGGCUCAGCUGAGUGGGGUAGAGGAGGACACUAGCACCAGCCAGAGAAAAGCCAGAAGCUAAGAGGCAGGGAGGUCGUCUGUGAAGCCAGAAUGGACAGGAGGCCCAUUCCCAUCUUUUCAGUGGGAGGCCUGGCCUCCAGGACUGGGCUGAGGGUCUCUGAAGUCAAGGACAGCAAGCAGGGCCUAGAAGGGGCCCUUCUGCUGAGUGAAACUCAUGCUCAGCCAAGGAGCAGCAUGAGGCUGGACCAGCGACGCCUCAACUGCUUGUCCUCCCAGAUAUGAAUAAAUGACCCAGGCUAAAUGCCAGUUCCUUGCAAAGAAUUUCAUUUAAGCUUCACUGAAUUGAAAAGGCUCAACCAGACUCAACAUUUCCAACUUCCUAGCAAGUAGCAGAAAAUCUACCUGACAGUUGCUAUGGAAACACGAACAGGAAGAGUGAACCACCAGCCUAUAAAUCCACAGAGAAACCUUUCUUAAUUGGAAGGCCUUUAACCCACACAUUUUUCUCAUAGCUGCAGAGCUUAUUUCUAAAGAGAUUAUUAAAUUCCUCAAUUGACUUAUGAAGGAUGCUUCCCACUAUAUUACUGUGCUUUGGGUUGCUCGUUCUUUAUAUCUGUUUCCAAAAUUACAAAGCAGACCAGGGAUAAUAAAAGUUAACACAGAUGUUUCAAUGAAAAAUCCAUAUGAUGUUUCGAAAAUAACUUCAGCAGCAAUGCCGAACAAAAAGGACUCCGGUACAAGAACCAAGAUGGUGUGGGAUUGUUUGUUUCAAAGCCAAAUGGAAAUCACCAAACUGCACCACCCCCUGUUCUGAAUCCGACAGAUUAAUAUGGGUAGGAAAUCCUGACAGCAUUUCACAAUGUUAAAGAACAGUGACCAAGUUGGGGGAAAAAAAAAA